This 461-nucleotide ribosomal RNA is filed under the name uncultured bacterium. Its description in RNAcentral is "partial 16S ribosomal RNA". It matches the Rfam family "Bacterial small subunit ribosomal RNA", at positions 338 to 795 of the family's 1533-position model. The record is from RNAcentral.
CCUAUCGGAAGGCAGCAGUGAGGAAUAUUGGUCAAUGGACGCAAGUCUGAACCAGCCAUGCCGCGUGCAGGAAGACGUCUCUAUGAGUUGUAAACUGCUUUUUUACGAGGGUAAUUCCCGAUACUUGUAUCGGGUUGACAGUAUCGUACGAAUAAGGAUCGGCUAACUCCGUGCCAGCAGCCGCGGUAAUACGGAGGAUUCAAGAGUUCUCCGGAUUUAUUGGGUUUAAAGGGUGCGUAGGCGGUUCGAUAAGUUAGAGGUGAAAGCCCGGGGCUCAACUCCGGCACUGCCUCUGAUACUGUCGGGCUAGAGUUUAGGUGAGGUAGGCGGAAUGUAUGGGGUAGCGGUGAAAUGCAUAGAGAUCAUACAGAACACCGAUUGCGAAGGCAGCUUACCAAACUACGACUGACGUUGAGGCAAGAAAGCGUGGGGAGCAAACAGGAGUAGAUACCCUGGUAGUC